UUCCCUGCAUUGAGGAUUCGUUUAAAUCACGUGACCACGGAGCGUGAGUGAAGUGAAGCCUUUCACUCACCGAUCCUUGGCCUCCCGUCGGCACCGCGCUGCAGGGCCUUGUGUGCACACAUAGUCAGCGCGCUGGCUGACGCUGUGUGUGACGUCAGGUCCCAGUGCAUGCUGGGAAGAAGAUGCGGUCCGUCUCCUGCGGACUCCAUGUCAGCGCACUUCCAGGAAAGACUUAAAGAAGCGCUGGUAUUCCUUUCGGGAUCAAUUCCGGCGGGAACUUAACAUCAAGCAGCACAGUGAUGAUAAUGGCUCACUAACCAAAAAACCUUAUAUGUACACUAGACAACUACAACUUUUAAAACCAGUAAUGGAAUUAAGGAGCACUGUGGACAAUCUUUCUUCUGAUUCAAACCAAAGAAAUCUAGAGUCUGCAGGGGAUGUUUCCCAAAGAGAAUAAGGGGCCUCUCCAGCUCCACAAGAGGAAACAGUGAAUAUUCAAGAGAGAGCGUAAACAGAGGUUAUGGUGCUUACCGAAAAUGAGGCCAACAUAGAAACCACUCCAUUUUCAGAGGAACGUGUUUGCCGUUCAUCAGGCAGACAACGGCGAAGACCUGCAGUUCAUUCCGAUUUAGAUGUUUGAGGCCUAAUUGAUUCACAGGUUCUCGAAUAUCUAAAUCAGAAUCGGUCGGAUAAUAAAGAAGAGCACUCAAAAGUCUUGUGCCAUAUCUUAGUCGUGUGCAUGACACGUUGUGUCUCUGCAUUGGCCUUGUUGAUCUACCUUUUUGCAA
Molecule: long non-coding RNA, 788 nt
Organism: Bufo bufo (common toad)
Lineage: Eukaryota; Metazoa; Chordata; Amphibia; Anura; Bufonidae
Exons: 3
Source: RefSeq, a predicted model, not a curated record